UACGUAGGUGGCAAGCGUUGUCCGGAUUUACUGGGCGUAAAGGAUGCGUAGGCGGACAUUUAAGUCAGAUGUGAAAUACCCGAGCUUAACUUGGGUGCUGCAUUUGAAACUGGGUGUCUAGAGUGCAGGAGAGGUAAGUGGAAUUCCUAGUGUAGCGGUGAAAUGCGUAGAGAUUAGGAAGAACACCAGUGGCGAAGGCGGUCUGCUGGGCAGUAGCUGACACUGAGGCGCGACAGCGUGGGGAGCAAACAGG
RNAcentral lists this ribosomal RNA (253 nucleotides) under uncultured bacterium. RNAcentral describes it as "partial 16S ribosomal RNA". It matches the Rfam family "Bacterial small subunit ribosomal RNA", at positions 524 to 776 of the family's 1533-position model. The record is from RNAcentral.